Non-coding RNA from Caerostris extrusa, 74 nucleotides. Lineage: Eukaryota; Metazoa; Arthropoda; Arachnida; Araneae; Araneidae. The record is from the annotation of a GenBank genome assembly.
UCAUAGCUCAGUGGUUAGAGCACUGGUCUCGUAAACCAGGGGUCGUGAGUUCGAUUUUAGGCUUGUUUUAAAAU